CUCAACAUGCUCCAGGCCCUAGGUUCUGUCCUUGGCUAGGGGGCAGUGCUCACUAGGUAAAUCAUUGACUAAUUGAAUACAGGGCAGGGGGCUAACAUGCUACAACCCCCCAGGCUGCGGAGGCAGCCACACUUCAGCGCACUUAGGUAAGAGCAAAGGGGUGUUGUGUGCGUGAUGUAACUUUUGGAUCUGGAAAGAGACCUUUUCCACGAUGUGUUUUCCAACCCAUGUUUCUUAUUUUCCUCCUUCGUCUAUGUGGUUCAUUGAGUUCUUUCUUACUCUUUUUUCCUUUCAGUGCUGGGGAUCCAAAUCCAGGCCUUGCACAGGCUAGGCUAAGCUUUACCACUCAGCUGCACUCUCUAGUCCCAGACAAGUACAUUUUAAAACAUUUAAAACAUGGCAACUGGAGCGACUUCCUCAGCCUUUCAGCAAGAUUACAAUGCGCUAUCAUCCACAGAGACCAAUGAAACAGGCAAAGGAAGUGGAGUAAUAAUUCCGCUUUUACUCAGAACAUGAAGUGCAAAUGAUUUGCUCAAAGUCAGCCAAGUCCAAGGAUUAAUCCUUUAGGGAAAGGCAAAUACUUCCGCCACGGAUCCGACUGAGGAGUAAAUGUGUAAAUCACACAGCAGCCUCCAAGCACCCACGGCCCCUUUGCGCGGGGUUUGCAAGGCUCAGUAACCGGCCGCACCCCUGGGGUUCCUGGCGCAAGGCGAUUCCUGGCCUCGCCAAGGCCAAAGGAGGGCCCAGCCCACACGUUUGUUUUCAUCUACUCUUAAACGGCUCGCAGGCCAAAGAAGAGGGCACUGCUUACUGCCCGGCUGUGUGUUACCAAAAAAGGCUUUUCUCUCUGCGGAGCGCUUGGCGGCGCGCUUUGCAGCGGGGUGACGCGAGGUUCAGCCUCGGCCUCGAGAGCCAGCAAGCCAAGAGCACUCCUGACCCCGCCCCAUUUGGGUUCCAAACUAUGGGGACCUUUGAGGACGGGCUGGAGUCGCCGGGAUGCAUAGAAGUGCUUAAGAUCCUGACAACCGUUCACACGCCUAACACUGGGCUAUGUUGCUCCGCAAAGGCUAAGGGGAAAGCUGACUUUUGCUCCAGUUUAGAACAGUGUUGUCUGGGCUUUCUGGGGUUCGGGCUAACACUUUGUACUUUGUGCUCUACAAGUCUCUGCAGCCGGUUGCACCCCAGAACAUAGCACCAGAAUUCUGUGGUCUCUGCUCCCCCUACUUCUCACCUUGCUUGAUCAGUUCUUCCCAAGAGAUCACAGUACUGCUGCAGGAGCAGAAUGGAUCUCCAAACACUGGAGUUCUCUUCUCCCCAAUUGCUGAUGCAUCCCCAAACAGGGUCGUCUGAGACAAGCAGUUAAGAAGCAAUUUAUCACCAAGAACGAUGGUGAUACUUUCUGCGGGGGUAUGGAGAGUUGUGAUUUUUAAAUAAAAGGAUUAUGAGACUGUG
Non-coding RNA from Arvicanthis niloticus (Nile rat), 1452 nucleotides. The record is from RefSeq and is a predicted model, not a curated record. Lineage: Eukaryota; Metazoa; Chordata; Mammalia; Rodentia; Muridae.